RNAcentral lists this ribosomal RNA (816 nucleotides) under Rhodococcus sp. (in: high G+C Gram-positive bacteria). RNAcentral's name for it is "bacterial SSU rRNA". It matches the Rfam family "Bacterial small subunit ribosomal RNA", at positions 39 to 873 of the family's 1533-position model. Lineage: Bacteria; Bacillati; Actinomycetota; Actinomycetes; Mycobacteriales; Nocardiaceae. The record is from RNAcentral.
GCGGGGUGCUUACCAUGCAGUCGAACGGUAAGGCCCUUCGGGGUACACGAGUGGCGAACGGGUGAGUAACACGUGGGUGAUCUGCCCUGCACUUCGGGAUAAGCCCGGGAAACUGGGUCUAAUACCGGAUAGGACUGCGCGGUGCAUGCCGUGUGGUGGAAAGAUUUAUCGGUGCAGGAUGGGCCCGCGGCCUAUCAGCUUGUUGGUGGGGUAAUGGCCUACCAAGGCGACGACGGGUAGCCGGCCUGAGAGGGCGACCGGCCACACUGGGACUGAGACACGGCCCAGACUCCUACGGGAGGCAGCAGUGGGGAAUAUUGCACAAUGGGCGCAAGCCUGAUGCAGCGACGCCGCGUGAGGGAUGACGGCCUUCGGGUUGUAAACCUCUUUCAGCAGGGACGAAGCGUGAGUGACGGUACCUGCAGAAGAAGCACCGGCCAACUACGUGCCAGCAGCCGCGGUAAUACGUAGGGUGCAAGCGUUGUCCGGAAUUACUGGGCGUAAAGAGCUCGUAGGCGGUUUGUCGCGUCGUCUGUGAAAACCAGCAGCUCAACUGUUGGCUUGCAGGCGAUACGGGCAGACUUGAGUAUUUCAGGGGAGACUGGAAUUCCUGGUGUAGCGGUGAAAUGCGCAGAUAUCAGGAGGAACACCGGUGGCGAAGGCGGGUCUCUGGGAAAUAACUGACGCUGAGGAGCGAAAGCGUGGGUAGCGAACAGGAUUAGAUACCCUGGUAGUCCACGCCGUAAACGGUGGGCGCUAGGUGUGGGUUUCCUUCCACGGGAUCCGUGCCGUAGCUAACGCAUUAAGCGCCCCGCC